GGAAGAGUGGCUGAGCGGUUUAAAGCGCACGCUUGGAAAGCGUGUGGGGCGCAAGCUCUCGCAGGUUCGAAUCCUGUCUCUUCCG
RNAcentral lists this transfer RNA (85 nucleotides) under Candidatus Kaiserbacteria bacterium. RNAcentral describes it as "tRNA-Ser". It matches the Rfam family "tRNA". Rfam says of the family: Transfer RNA (tRNA) molecules are approximately 80 nucleotides in length. Their secondary structure includes four short double-helical elements and three loops (D, anti-codon, and T loops). Lineage: Bacteria; Candidatus Kaiseribacteriota. The record is from RNAcentral.